GGGAAUGUGGCUUAGUGGUGGAGUGCUUGCCUUGCACACAUGAAGCCCUAGGUUUGAUUCCUCAGUACCA
This 70-nucleotide transfer RNA is filed under the name Dipodomys ordii (Ord's kangaroo rat). It matches the Rfam family "tRNA". Rfam says of the family: Transfer RNA (tRNA) molecules are approximately 80 nucleotides in length. Their secondary structure includes four short double-helical elements and three loops (D, anti-codon, and T loops). The record is from Rfam by way of RNAcentral. Lineage: Eukaryota; Metazoa; Chordata; Mammalia; Rodentia; Heteromyidae.